CCUACGGGGGGCUGCAGUGGGGAAUAUUGGACAAUGGGGGCAACCCUGAUCCAGCCAUGCCGCGUGUGUGAAGAAGGCCCUCGGGUUGUAAAGCACUUUCAGUGAGGAAGAACGCCUGGUGGUUAAUACCCAUCAGGAAAGACAUCACUCACAGAAGAAGCACCGGCUAACUCCGUGCCAGCAGCCGCGGUAAUACGGAGGGUGCGAGCGUUAAUCGGAAUUACUGGGCGUAAAGCGCGCGUAGGUGGCUUGAUAAGCCGGUUGUGAAAGCCCCGGGCUCAACCUGGGAACGGCAUCCGGAACUGUCAAGCUAGAGUGCAGGAGAGGAAGGUAGAAUUCCCGGUGUAGCGGUGAAAUGCGUAGAGAUCGGGAGGAAUACCAGUGGCGAAGGCGGCCUUCUGGACUGACACUGACACUGAGGUGCGAAAGCGUGGGUAGCAAACGGGAUUAGAUACCCUUGUAGUC
RNAcentral lists this ribosomal RNA (465 nucleotides) under Vreelandella stevensii. RNAcentral describes it as "partial 16S ribosomal RNA". It matches the Rfam family "Bacterial small subunit ribosomal RNA", at positions 338 to 795 of the family's 1533-position model. Lineage: Bacteria; Pseudomonadati; Pseudomonadota; Gammaproteobacteria; Oceanospirillales; Halomonadaceae. The record is from RNAcentral.